Molecule: ribosomal RNA, 508 nt
Filed under: uncultured Pseudoalteromonadaceae bacterium
Lineage: Bacteria; Pseudomonadati; Pseudomonadota; Gammaproteobacteria; Alteromonadales; Pseudoalteromonadaceae
Description: bacterial SSU rRNA
Rfam family: Bacterial small subunit ribosomal RNA
Source: RNAcentral
AGGGUUUGAUCCUGGCUCAGAUUGAACGCUGGCGGCAGGCCUAACACAUGCAAGUCGAGCGGUAACAUUUCUAGCUUGCUAGAAGAUGACGAGCGGCGGACGGGUGAGUAAUGCUUGGGAACAUGCCUUGAGGUGGGGGACAACAGUUGGAAACGACUGCUAAUACCGCAUAAUGUCUACGGACCAAAGGGGGCUUCGGCUCUCGCCUUUAGAUUGGCCCAAGUGGGAUUAGCUAGUUGGUGAGGUAAUGGCUCACCAAGGCGACGAUCCCUAGCUGGUUUGAGAGGAUGAUCAGCCACACUGGGACUGAGACACGGCCCAGACUCCUACGGGAGGCAGCAGUGGGGAAUAUUGCACAAUGGGCGCAAGCCUGAUGCAGCCAUGCCGCGUGUGUGAAGAAGGCCUUCGGGUUGUAAAGCACUUUCAGUCAGGAGGAAAGGUUAGUAGUUAAUACCUGCUAGCUGUGACGUUACUGACAGAAGAAGCACCGGCUAACUCCGUGCCAGCC